Molecule: ribosomal RNA, 621 nt
Filed under: uncultured bacterium
Lineage: Bacteria
Description: bacterial SSU rRNA
Rfam family: Bacterial small subunit ribosomal RNA (bases 1-533)
Source: RNAcentral
CCUACGGGAGGCAGCAGUGAGGAAUAUUGGACAAUGGGCGCAAGCCUGAUCCAGCCAUGCCGCGUGCAGGAAGAAGCAUCUAUGGUGUGUAAACUGCUUUUGUACAGGAAGAAACACUCCCUCGUGAGGGAGCUUGACGGUACUGUAAGAAUAAGGACCGGCUAACUCCGUGCCAGCAGCCGCGGUAAUACGGAGGGUCCGAGCGUUAUCCGGAAUCAUUGGGUUUAAAGGGUCCGUAGGCGGCUUAAUAAGUCAGUGGUGAAAUCUGGUCGCUCAACGAUCAAACGGCCAUUGAUACUGUUAGACUUGAAUUAUAAGGAAGUAACUAGAAUAUGUAGUGUAGCGGUGAAAUGCUUAGAUAUUACAUGGAAUACCAAUUGCGAAGGCAGGUUACUACUUAUGGAUUGACGCUGAUGGACGAAAGCGUGGGGAGCGAGCAGGAUUAGAUACCCUGGUAGUCCACGCCGUAAACGAUGGAUACUAGCUGUUCGGAGCAAUAUGAGUGCGUAGACGAAGUAGAGUAGUAUACCACCGUCGGAGGUACGUACGCGAGAAGUAGAACGUACGAAGUAGUAGUUAGUAGGACGUAGAGACGNGCGAGGACGACGACGAGGGAGGAGG